CCUACGGGAGGCAGCAGUGGGGAAUAUUGGGCAAUGGGCGCAAGCCUGAACCAGCAACGCCGCGUGAAGGAAGAAGGCAUUCGGGUUGUAAACUUCUUUUAAGAAGGAAGAGAAGAAGACGGUACCUCUUGAAUAAGCCAAGGCUAACUAGGUGCCAGCAGCCGCGGUAAUACGUAGGUGGCAAGGGUUGUACGGAUUUACUGGGUGUAAAGGGCGUGCAGCCGGGAAUACAAGUCAGAUGUGAAAUCCCGCGGCUCAACCGCGGAACUGCAUUUGAAACUGUUGUUCUUGAGUACGGGAGAGGUCAUCGGAAUUCGUGGUGUAGCGGUGAAAUGCAUAGAUAUAAGGAAGAACACCAGUGGCGAAGGCGGAUGACUGGACGGCAACUGACGGUGAGGCGCGAAAGCGUGGGGAUCAAACAGGAUUAGAUACCCGUGUAGUC
RNAcentral lists this ribosomal RNA (442 nucleotides) under uncultured bacterium. Its description in RNAcentral is "partial 16S ribosomal RNA". It matches the Rfam family "Bacterial small subunit ribosomal RNA", at positions 338 to 795 of the family's 1533-position model. The record is from RNAcentral.